RNAcentral lists this ribosomal RNA (253 nucleotides) under uncultured bacterium. RNAcentral's name for it is "partial 16S ribosomal RNA". It matches the Rfam family "Bacterial small subunit ribosomal RNA", at positions 524 to 776 of the family's 1533-position model. The record is from RNAcentral.
UACGGGGGGGGCUAGCGUUGUUCGGAAUUACUGGGCGUAAAGGGCUCGUAGGCGGCCAACUAAGUCAGACGUGAAAUCCCUCGGCUUAACCGAGGAACUGCGUCUGAUACUGGAUGGCUGGAAUCUGGGAGAGGGAUGCGGAAUUCCAGGUGUAGCGGUGAAAUGCGUAGAUAUCUGGAGGAACACCGGUGGCGAAGGCGGCAUCCUGGACCGGCAUUGACGCUGAGGAGCGAAAGCCAGGGGAGCAAACGGG